RNAcentral lists this ribosomal RNA (465 nucleotides) under Vreelandella stevensii. RNAcentral's name for it is "partial 16S ribosomal RNA". It matches the Rfam family "Bacterial small subunit ribosomal RNA", at positions 338 to 795 of the family's 1533-position model. The record is from RNAcentral. Lineage: Bacteria; Pseudomonadati; Pseudomonadota; Gammaproteobacteria; Oceanospirillales; Halomonadaceae.
CCUACGGGAGGCAGCAGUGGGGAAUAUUGGACAAUGGGCGAAAGCCUGAUCCAGCCAUGCCGCGUGUGUGAAGAAGGCCUUCGGGUUGUAAAGCACUUUCAGUGGGGAAGAAAGCCUUGGGGCUAAUACCCUCGAGGAAGGACAUCACCCACAGAAGAAGCACCGGCUAACUCCGUGCCAGCAGCCGCGGUAAUGCGGAGGGUGCGAGCGUUAAUCGGAAUUACUGGGCGUAAAGCGCGCGUAGGCGGUCUGAUAAGCCGGUUGUGAAAGCCCCGGGCUCAACCUGGGAACGGCAUCCGGAACUGUCAGGCUAGAGUGCAGGAGAGGAAGGUAGAAUUCCCGGUGUAGCGGUGAAAUGCGUAGAGAUCGGGAGGAAUACCAGUGGCGAAGGCGGCCUUCUGGACUGACACUGACGCUGAGGUGCGAAAGCGUGGGUAGCAAACAGGAUUAGAUACCCCAGUAGUC